AUUGAACGCUGGCGGCGUGCUUAACACAUGCAAGUCGAUCGGUAACAGGUGUAGCAAUACAUGCUGACGAGAGGCGGACGGGUGAGUAAUGCUUGGGAAUCUGCCUAUUAGGUGGGGGACAACCCGGGGAAACUCGGGCUAAUACCGCAUACGCUCUACGGAGGAAAGCCGGGGACCGCAAGGCCUGGCGCUAAUAGAUGAGCCCAAGUCGGAUUAGCUAGUGGUAGGAACGCCUACCAGGCGACAAUCCGUAGCUGGUCUGAGAGGGCGACCAGCCACACCGGAACUGAGACACGGUCCGGACUCCUACGGGAGGCAGCAGUGGGGAAUAUUGGACAAUGGGCGAAAGCCUGAUCCAGCGACGCCGCGUGGGUGAAGAAGGCCUG
RNAcentral lists this ribosomal RNA (386 nucleotides) under uncultured bacterium. RNAcentral's name for it is "bacterial SSU rRNA". It matches the Rfam family "Bacterial small subunit ribosomal RNA", at positions 29 to 418 of the family's 1533-position model. The record is from RNAcentral.